GUAGGGAAUAUUGGGCAAUGGUCGGAAGACUGACCCAGCCAUGCCGCGUGCAGGAAGACGGCCCUCUGGGUUGUAAACUGCUUUUAUCUGGGAAGAAAAAGGCCAUGCGUGGCAAAUUGCCGGUACCAGAUGAAUAAGCACCGGCUAACUCCGUGCCAGCAGCCGCGGUAAUACGGAGGGUGCGAGCGUUGUCCGGAUUUAUUGGGUUUAAAGGGUGCGUAGGCGGCUGAUUAAGUCAGCGGUGAAAGACUUCGGCUUAACCGGAGCAGUGCCGUUGAUUCUGGUUGGCUUGAGUGUCGGAGGGGUACAUGGAAUUGAUGGUGUAGCGGUGAAAUGCAUAGAUACCAUCAGGAACACCGAUAGCGAAGGCAUUGUACUGGCCGACAACUGACGCUGAUGCACGAAAGUGUGGGGAUCGAACAGGAUUAGAUACCCUGGUAGUCC
RNAcentral lists this ribosomal RNA (444 nucleotides) under uncultured bacterium. RNAcentral describes it as "partial 16S ribosomal RNA". It matches the Rfam family "Bacterial small subunit ribosomal RNA", at positions 354 to 796 of the family's 1533-position model. The record is from RNAcentral.